UACGGAGGGUCCAAGCGUUAUCCGGAAUCAUUGGGUUUAAAGGGUCCGUAGGCGGUUUUGUAAGUCAGUGGUGAAAGCCCAUCGCUCAACGGUGGAACGGCCAUUGAUACUGCAAGACUUGAAUUAUUAGGAAGUAACUAGAAUAUGUAGUGUAGCGGUGAAAUGCUUAGAGAUUACAUGGAAUACCAAUUGCGAAGGCAGGUUACUACUAAUUGAUUGACGCUGAUGGACGAAAGCGUGGGUAGCGAACAGG
This 253-nucleotide ribosomal RNA is filed under the name uncultured bacterium. RNAcentral's name for it is "partial 16S ribosomal RNA". It matches the Rfam family "Bacterial small subunit ribosomal RNA", at positions 524 to 776 of the family's 1533-position model. The record is from RNAcentral.